ACCCAUGCAAGUCGAGCGGAUGAAUGGAGCUUGCUCCUGGAUUCAGCGGCGGACGGGUGAGUAAUGCCUAGGAAUCUGCCUGGUAGUGGGGGAUAACGUCCGGAAAGGGGCGCUAAUACCGCAUACGUCCUACGAGAGAAAGUGGGGGAUCUUCGGACCUCACGCUAUCAGAUGAGCCUAGGUCGGAUUAGCUAGUUGGUGGGGUAAUGGCCCACCAUGGCGACGAUCCGUAGCUGGUCUGGGAGGAUGAUCAGUCACACUGGAACUGAGACACGGUCCAGACUCCUACGUCAGGCAGCUUUGCGGAAUAUUGCACCAUGGGCGAAAGCCUGAUCCAGCCAUGCCGCGUGUGUGAAGAAUGUCUUCGGAUUGUAAAGUACUUUAAGUUGGGAGGAAGGGCAGUAAGUUAAUACCUUGCUGUUUUGACGUUACCCUCCCAAUAAGCACCGGCCAACUUCGUGCCAGUCUCUGCGGUAAUACGAAGGGUGCAAGCGUUCAUCGGAAUUACUGGUCGUACAGCGGGCGCACCUGGUUCAGCGAGUUGGAUGUGAAAUCCCCGGGCUCAACCUGGGAACUGCAUCCAAAACUACUGAGCUAGAGUACGGUAGAGGGUGGUGGAAUUUCCUGUGUAGCGGUGAAAUGCGUAGAUAUAGGAAGGAACACC
This 664-nucleotide ribosomal RNA is filed under the name Pseudomonas aeruginosa. RNAcentral describes it as "bacterial SSU rRNA". It matches the Rfam family "Bacterial small subunit ribosomal RNA", at positions 51 to 710 of the family's 1533-position model. The record is from RNAcentral. Lineage: Bacteria; Pseudomonadati; Pseudomonadota; Gammaproteobacteria; Pseudomonadales; Pseudomonadaceae.